GGGUCAGCGACUUAUAUUCUGUAGCAAGGUUAACCGAAUAGGGGAGCCGAAGGGAAACCGAGUCUUAACUGGGCGUUAAGUUGCAGGGUAUAGACCCGAAACCCGGUGAUCUAGCCAUGGGCAGGUUGAAGGUUGGGUAACACUAACUGGAGGACCGAACCGACUAAUGUUGAAAAAUUAGCGGAUGACUUGUGGCUGGGGGUGAAAGGCCAAUCAAACCGGGAGAUAGCUGGUUCUCCCCGAAAGCUAUUUAGGUAGCGCCUCGUGAAUUCAUCUCCGGGGGUAGAGCACUGUUUCGGCAAGGGGGUCAUCCCGACUUACCAACCCGAUGCAAACUGCGAAUACCGGAGAAUGUUAUCACGGGAGACACACGGCGGGUGCUAACGUCCGUCGUGAAGAGGGAAACAACCCAGACCGCC
This 419-nucleotide ribosomal RNA is filed under the name Escherichia coli. Its description in RNAcentral is "partial 23S ribosomal RNA". It matches the Rfam family "Bacterial large subunit ribosomal RNA", at positions 617 to 1036 of the family's 2925-position model. RNAcentral also lists the same sequence under 2 other names. Lineage: Bacteria; Pseudomonadati; Pseudomonadota; Gammaproteobacteria; Enterobacterales; Enterobacteriaceae. The record is from RNAcentral.